Molecule: long non-coding RNA, 1478 nt
Filed under: Homo sapiens (human)
Lineage: Eukaryota; Metazoa; Chordata; Mammalia; Primates; Hominidae
Description: HSALNT0045261
Source: RNAcentral
GCUUUUUCUCAUUCCAUCUUAAAAUGAGGUCCCAGAGGGAAGGCAGCAUUCCCCACAAGGCCAAUAGGAAGAGCGGGGGCCAUCCUGGAUAUGCAUGCUCAACCACCAGGUGGGGAGUGAGAGAGAGAAGAACUUCUGUGGUAAAACCUUUACAGGGGUCCAAGAGCAUUCAUUUCUUCUGGAGGAUGCAGCAAGAAGGCAUCAUCUUGGAAGCAGAGAAUAGCCCUCAUCAGACACCAAACUUGCUGGAGCCUUGAUCUUGGACUUUACAUUCUCCAGAACAGUGAGCAAUAAAUUUUUAGUGUUUAUAAACUACCCAGUCUCAGGCAUUUUGUUAUAGCAGCUCAGACUAAGACAGACUAAGACAAUAUACAAUGCCUUAGUUUAAUACUUUAAUACUUUCAUGAAUAACAAUAGUAAAUAAAUGAAUACAAUUAUUUAAAUUAUGAGAUUGUUCAUUGUCUCAUUGUCUAGUCCUUACCUGUAUCUGUCUCUCUCCACAUUCUGAAAUCGACCUUGUGAUUUUUGCAUAAUUGUGUUAUACAUAACUGUAUACCCAGAUGUCCCUCAAUUUCAUAUAUAUGUUUACAAAAUAGACAUUUUAUCUUGCUCUUCUCUUUCCUUUUUAUUUGAUACUUUUCUUAUCUAUUAUUGGUUUAGCUAUUCCUAGUGGCCUAAAGAUGUAAUUUUAUUGCAAACAUCUGAACAACUCAAUAUAUUCUUCACACUCCCUGCUUACUUUAAAGCUUUAGUAUUUACACAGUUGGGGAUAUAUCUAUAUAGAAAUACUUAUCAGUGAAGUAAACCUUUUUUCCCUGAUGUUUCAUCUUAAUGGUAAAAUCAUCCUCCUGUUGCCAUUACACUCUUCAACUUAUGUAUAAGAAUUCUGUUAACUCUAAGCAGCAUGUUUAAAGUAGGUUAGUUCAAAGUUGUGAGAUGGUUGCACAUUUUCAGUAGGUCUAAAAAUUAAGUUCCACAUUGAAUUGUUUUAAAGCACUAUGGCAAACAUUAAAGUGUUUAAUUCAUUAUUGAAACACUUUCAUUACAGCAACAACAGUUUAACAUCCUGCAGUGGUAAUUCUAAAUGAAAAAUUAAGUAUAUAUUUGUGUUAGCUUAGGUGGUUUAUAUAUUCGAUGAUACAGUCUUGUUAUACAGGAUAUUGCUCUUCAGAGAGAGAGGCAUAUGCUUUCAAGUGAUUCAUUUAAAUGCAUCAAAUCAAUACAGAAUAUUUUUAGACUAAUUUUGUUUAAUUGAUUGAAGAUUUUUCAGAACUUUUUUUCCCAGGGAACUUUAGUACAACUAUGUCAGCACGAAUCAUGAAAAGAAUGCAUGAAUACAGUAAAGAGUUCCUAUUCAUUUUAAUUUUGAAAGAUCUAAACUUCAGGGGAAAAAUCCUUAAAACUACAAUAAAUAAUCAAGUAAAUGUAGGUAUACCAAUAAUACUGGAAAUGAAAUAGUAUUCCCCUUUUUGUUUUGU